GAUGAAGAACGUAGCGAAAUGCGAUAAGUAGUGUGAAUUGCAGAAUUCAGUGAAUCAUCGAAUCUUUGAACGCACAUUGCGCCCCUUGGUAUUCCAUGGGGCAUGCCUGUUCGAGCGUCAUUUGUACCUUCAAGCUUUGCUUGGUGUUGGGUGUUUGUCCAUUCUCUUGCAGAGGGACUCGCCUUAAAGUAAUUGGCAGCCAGUGUUUUGGUUUUGAAGCGCAGCACAAGUCGCGAUUCAAAGCUAUACGCCCGCUUCCACAAGCCUUUUUCACUUUUGACCUCGGAUCAGGUAGGGAUACCGGCUGAACUUAAGCAUAUCAAUAAGCGGAGGA
RNAcentral lists this unclassified non-coding RNA (334 nucleotides) under soil metagenome. Its description in RNAcentral is "partial contains 5.8S ribosomal RNA, internal transcribed spacer 2, and large subunit ribosomal RNA". The stretch from base 1 to 120 matches the Rfam family "5.8S ribosomal RNA", at positions 35 to 154 of the family's 154-position model. The record is from RNAcentral.